Molecule: long non-coding RNA, 475 nt
Filed under: Malus domestica (apple)
Lineage: Eukaryota; Viridiplantae; Streptophyta; Magnoliopsida; Rosales; Rosaceae
Description: long non-coding RNA (MDOM_LNC013587)
Source: RNAcentral
GGUUUAUAAAUCCUUCUCGACUACCUUGGAGCUUGUGGUAUAGGAACUAGGUUGUUAUAUUUGUUGAUCAUCAUCUUGUCUCUCAAAGAACCCAUUCUUUGAGUUCUAUCUCUCGUUCAUUGCUCUAUCUUAGGCAAAUCAUAUUGUAGGAUUACAAUGAACUACCCAACAAAACAACAUUUGUUAGUUGGUUUAUAGAAGUGAUAUCCAAAAGUUAAUUUAAGGAUAUCCCACAAGAUAAUGUUAUCAAACAAAUAUUGCUUAUUGGCACACAACCCCAAAUCUUAACACAAUUAAGACUUGUCUUUCUUUCCAACUACAUCCUAUGGAGUCAUGAAAAUUUUGGAAGAUCUUCUAAUUGACAAUCAUAUUGUUUUAGAAGUAUAUAUCCUAUAUAUGGGUAAUUGAUAAUAUCCAACGAACUAAAUCUUAUUCAAGUUCGUUCUUCUCCUUAUGGAGAAAUCUAUUAUCUUAU